UACAGAGGGUGCAAGCGUUAAUCGGAGUUAUUGGGCGUAAAGGGCGCGUAGGUGGAAAUUUAAGUCGGAUGUGAAAUCCCUGGGCUUAACCUAGGAAUUGCAUUCGAUACUGAGUUUCUAGAGUGUAGUAGAGGAAAGUAGAAUUUCCGGUGUAGCGGUUAAAUGCGUAGAUAUCGGAAAGAAUACCAGUGGCGAAAGCGGCUUUCUGGACUAAUACUGACACUGAGGCGCGAGAGCGUGGGGAG
This 245-nucleotide ribosomal RNA is filed under the name uncultured bacterium. RNAcentral's name for it is "partial 16S ribosomal RNA". It matches the Rfam family "Bacterial small subunit ribosomal RNA", at positions 524 to 768 of the family's 1533-position model. The record is from RNAcentral.